UACGGAGGGGGCUAGCGUUGUUCGGAAUUACUGGGCGUAAAGCGCACGUAGGCGGAUUGUUAAGUCAGAGGUGAAAGCCCAAGGCUCAACCUUGGAAUUGCCUUUGAUACUGGCAGUCUUGAGUCCGAGAGAGGUGAGUGGAAUUCCGAGUGUAGAGGUGAAAUUCGUAGAUAUUCGGAGGAACACCAGUGGCGAAGGCGGCUCACUGGCUCGGUACUGACGCUGAGGUGCGAAAGCGCGGGGAGCAAACAGG
RNAcentral lists this unclassified non-coding RNA (253 nucleotides) under uncultured Alphaproteobacteria bacterium. Its description in RNAcentral is "contains 16S-23S intergenic spacer region". It matches the Rfam family "Bacterial small subunit ribosomal RNA", at positions 524 to 776 of the family's 1533-position model. Lineage: Bacteria; Pseudomonadati; Pseudomonadota; Alphaproteobacteria. The record is from RNAcentral.